This 510-nucleotide ribosomal RNA is filed under the name uncultured bacterium. Its description in RNAcentral is "partial 16S ribosomal RNA". It matches the Rfam family "Bacterial small subunit ribosomal RNA", at positions 28 to 507 of the family's 1533-position model. The record is from RNAcentral.
GACGAACGCUGGCGGCGUGCUUAACACAUGCAAGUCGAACGAAGAGCGAUGGAAGCUUGCUUCUAUCAAUCUUAGUGGCGAACGGGUGAGUAACGCGUAAUCAACCUGCCCUUCAGAGGGGGACAACAGUUGGAAACGACUGCUAAUACCGCAUACGAUCUAAACUCGGCAUCGAGGAUAGAUGAAAGGUGGCCUCUACAUGUAAGCUAUCACUGAAGGAGGGGAUUGCGUCUGAUUAGCUAGUUGGAGGGGUAACGGCCCACCAAGGCGAUGAUCAGUAGCCGGUCUGAGAGGAUGAACGGCCACAUUGGGACUGAGACACGGCCCAGACUCCUACGGGAGGCAGCAGUGGGGAAUCUUCCGCAAUGGACGAAAGUCUGACGGAGCAACGCCGCGUGAGUGAUGACGGCCUUCGGGUUGUAAAGCUCUGUUAAUCGGGACGAAAGGCCUUCCUGCGAAUAGUGAGAAGGAUUGACGGUACCGGAAUAGAAAGCCACGGCUAACUACGUG